UUUGACGGCCAAAGCGGUGGGGAAACACCCGGUCCCAUCCCGAACCCGGAAGUUAAGCCCACCUGCGUACUUUCCUGUACUAUGGUGCGCGAGCCCAUGGGAAGGAUACCCCUUUUUGG
This 119-nucleotide ribosomal RNA is filed under the name Thermoplasmata archaeon. The record is from RNAcentral. Lineage: Archaea; Methanobacteriati; Thermoplasmatota; Thermoplasmata.